UGAAACACACACAAUAUUACACAUAAACAGCUGCAACCAAUCCAUUCCAACAUGGCCUAGCGAUAUUACACAAAAUCGAUGCCAUUUUACAUUCAACCUCUUUGCAAUAAUAAGUCUCGCAACACUGUCCGCAUGAUGUUUGACGGAGUGGACGGAGUAGAGGGAGCCAUUUUUGUUUUGUUGCGGAGCAGUCGAUUCUUCAAUUUUAUGUUAAAAAUUCGUGAAAAAUCUUAAAGAUGUCCCAACAAACAGUGCUUACAUUGUUUAUGAGUGAAUUAACUGUGGUCCCGGAAGGAACAAUCCACCGGAAUCCACCCGGUGUGAGGUUCGUACCCCGUAAAGUACACGGCGGACGGCAGGUUACCAUCAUGUGGCCAAAAGAGUAAGAACACACCAGUGUGGCUCGAAUGAAUUCCAGAACGGACCUAGCUAGCGCCUACAGUGAAACGGAUCGAUACGAAACGAGUAUGAACUUUGUGAAUUAUUCUACUGUUUGGUGAAGGAAUCUAAACACAUCCUCGAGUGCCUUCAGGAAGGGUCUACUGCGGUUCCUCGGAUAAUUAUUUAAAACAUUAAAAAAUGUACUACAUGUUGUAAUAAAAAAAAGUUGAUGAUUUAAAUGAAUCUGUUUUGUUUUUUUAUUUGAAACAUAAUUUGUCUCUUCACCAUCAAAUUCUCUUCAAUGGUUGAUUAAAUUGCUUUUAUCGAUUUAUUAAAUCAAUCUACGCGGAUUAAACUAGUUUUUUAAUCAUAAAUAUGAUUAAAGAGAUCAAAAUGGAUAAAAAAGCAAUUUAAUCACCCUUGAGCAGAAUUUGUGAUUGCUUUUUUCUCUUAAAUCGCUUAGAUUACAUAGUACUUAUAUUACAUCGCGUCGAGUACAUCGUAUUAUGUACGUUGAA
Long non-coding RNA from Aedes aegypti (yellow fever mosquito), 899 nucleotides. RefSeq lists it as uncharacterized. Lineage: Eukaryota; Metazoa; Arthropoda; Insecta; Diptera; Culicidae. The record is from RefSeq and is a predicted model, not a curated record. The transcript is spliced from 3 exons.